Molecule: long non-coding RNA, 4195 nt
Filed under: Ficedula albicollis (Collared flycatcher)
Lineage: Eukaryota; Metazoa; Chordata; Aves; Passeriformes; Muscicapidae
Description: lncRNA (ENSFALG00000016425.2)
Source: RNAcentral
CCCAGAGCUAAAUCUGGCUCGGAGGCAGCUGGGCAGCAGCUGAAGCCUCCUGUCUCCCUCCUGGGCGGCGGCAGCUCCCGGAGCCGGCAGGCGAUGCUCGGAAAUUGCGUUUUCCCUGCAGGGUUUCCCGGCUGGGCGCAGUUUUCCCGUGCGUCCCUUUUCCCGGAGGAGCAGCAGGAACGCCUUGGAACGCCUUGGGAUGCCUUGGGACACCUUGGGACACCUUGGGACGCCGGUCCCGAGCUGGGGAAGUGCCGUGGCUGCCGGCUCGGGAUGGAGCCGCAGUUGUCCCUCCGUCAGCUCCCAGCUGGCAGCUGCUGCUAAACCUCCCUUUCAUCGCCGGCCAAAAGAGGCCGGGGUGUUUUGCUCCCCCCCCACCCCCGCCCUUUAAUCCUGACUUUCAUCAUUCUCCAGGCUGGGCCUGCCCUCCCCUCCGUGGGAUGGGCAGGGUCGGGGGGCAGGAGCUGUGUCUGGGCUCGGCCCUUCCCCCCAGACCCUCACCCCAAACCUUCUCUGGGCUGCCCGUGGUCGGAGGCAGCAGGAGAGCAAUGGGUUAACCCGCAGGGAUGUGGGGAUGCCCACGAUGGGAGCUGCUGCUGGGCUGGGGAGGAUGUCUGGGCCGGCUGCAGAGGUGCUUCCUGCACGUAAGAGAAUCGGCUUGUUUAAUUUCAGGAUUUUGGGAACGAGACCAAACAUCAAACAGCGUCAGUGCGAGGGGCGGCCUCUGCUCCUGCAGCCGCCGCUCUCCCGGUGCCGCCAGUUCCGUGCCACCGAGCCGACCCAGCUCCUGCUGCGCGGGCACAUCCAGGGCCGGCAGGAGCGGAUCCCCGGGCUCUGGCACCCAGGGAAAACUCUGGCUUUGCCUGCUCCUAGAGCGGGGCAGGAACUUUGUCCCAGCGCCGCGUCCCCUCCAGCACAGGCGGCACAGGAGCAAAACCACGUUUCCCCCCAUUGUCCUCGCCCCAUCCCUGACGGAGCUGGGAGCGGGGUUCGGCUGCGGCCGCCCCUGCUGCUGCCGUUCAGGGCUUGACUUUGGCCAGACCUGGGAGCAGCCGGGCUGUCUGGAGCCGGCUGGGCUCGGCUCGGAGCUGGGCUCGGUGCCAGCAGCUUUCCCAAGCGCCCGGGUCACGGCGGGGCGGCUGAGAGCCGGCACGGAGCAGGGUGGCGCUGCCCUGGCGCGGCCGCUCGCCCCCUGCCCGCUCCCGGCCGGGGGCUCCCCCUCCUACCGGUGGCUCUGGGGGCUCUCGGGGAUGCGGGAUGCGUUUGUCCCACCCGGUUUGCCCGCGCUCAGCACAUUCCUGCGGCGCUGGGAUAUCGCUGGGAUAUCGCUGGGUGUCCGCGGCUGCAGCGCCCUGGGGCUCGCAGCAGGAACUCUGCACACAGGGAGCACAAGGGGUGCUUUAAUGGCUUUGAACGGAAGGAGGGGAGAUGGAGGUUGGAGAUUAGGAGGGAAUUCUUGGCUGUGAGGGUGGUGAGACCCUGGCAGCUGCGGCUGCUCCGUUCCUGGGAGUGCUCGGAGCCGGCUUGGAGCAGCCUGGGAUAAUGGGAAGUGUCCCUGCCCGCUCCCCAGGGGAGGGCGACUGGAUGUCUAAAGUCCCCUCCAGCCCACACCAUUCCAGGAUUCUGUGAUUUUAUGGAUCACCCAUGUCCCACCACCCCGGGCAGCUGCUGGAAUCCCUUUUCCUUCCCCAGCAAGUCCCUGCCCGGCUCCCAGCAGCUCCUGGUGCCUGUGUGAAUUAAUUCAGGGCAGCAGAACCCUGUGCUGCUCCUGGCAGGGACAUUCCCUCUGCCCUGCAUGCACCCCCAGCCCUUCUCCCUGCAGCAACAGGCGCUUUUCCCACCCUGGGAAAUGCACGUGGGAAUCAACUGGCCAGGCAGCACCGGGCAAAGUCCAGGAUGGGGACAGAGUAAAGUAAAAAACAAACUUUGUCCAUUUGAUGGCAGCGAGGGGCCAUAAACCAGCGCACGAGUGGCACUUCUGAGAGGGAACAGUGCACAUGGGAUCAGGGAACGGGGGUGGCUCAGCCCCCGGUCACAGUUACCUCCACGGGUGUUCCUGUGGGCAGUGGGGAGCUCAGGGGGACGUUAAAUCAUUAAUCUGGAUUCGUUUUGUCUCCUGUAAGUGCACGGAGUGGGAAGAGUGUUUGGGAAGCAAAGGGGAAGGACCUUGGAGUGAAGCCCAGGGUUUGAUGGUCAUUGCAGUAGAGAUAAUGAAACUGAGGUGUUUGUUCAAAGCAGAUUUAAAAAAAUAAAUUAAAAUAUAUAAUAUAAAAUGUAUAUAAUGCUUGUGAGACCCCAUUUCAGAGCUUCCUCCAGCCCUGGGGAACAACAUCAGCAGCACCAGGAGCUGCAGGAGAGAGUCCUGAGGAGACUCUGGGGCUGCUGCAGGGCUGGAGCCCCUCUGGAGCCAGGCUGGGAGAGAGGAGAAGGAUCCAGGCAGAGCUCAGAGCCCCUGGCAGGGCCUGAAGGGGCUGCAGGAGAGCUGGAGAGGGGCUGGGGACAAGGGAUGGGGGGGGACAGGACACAGGGAAUGGAUCCCCAGAGGGCAGGGCUGGGUGGGAUUUGGGGAGGAAUUGUUCCCUGGGAGUGUGGAGAGGGGCUGGGAUGGAAUUCCCAGAUUUGCUGUGGCUGCCCCUGGAUCCCUGGCGGUGCCCAAGGCCAGGCUGGAUGGGUUUGGAGCAUCCCUGGCUGGGUUUGGUCCCUGCUUGCUCAUGGACAGGGGACAGGGGUGGGGACAGGGACAGGGACAGGGACAAAGAUGGGCACGGGGACAGGGACACAGAGAUGGGGACAGGGACAGACACAGGGACAGGGUCAGGGGUGGGGACAAGGGACAAGGACAGGGACAGGUGACAGGGACAAGGAUGGGCACAGGGACAGGGACACAGGGGUGGGGACAGGGACACAGGGACGGGGACAGGGACACAGGGACGGGGUCAGGGGUGGGGACAAGGACAGGGACAGGUGACAGGGACAAGGAUGGGCACAGGGACAGGGACACAGGGGUGGGGACAGGGACACAGGGACGGGGACAGGGACACAGGGACGGGGUCAGGGGUGGGGACAAGGACAGGGACAGGUGACAGGGACAAGGAUGGGCACAGGGACAGGGACACAGGGGUGGGGACAGGGACACAGGGACGGGGACAGGGACACAGGGACGGGGACAGUGACGCGGACACGGGACGCUGCCGCUGUCGCUCCGGUGCCCUCUGGCGGCCGCACCGGGGGCAGCACCCGGGAGCUCAAGCGGACUCCGCGGUUCCGGCGCUGCAGGAAAAACGCGAGGUUUUAAAUCUCAAAUGUAAUUUUGCAGCAAUGAAAACAGAGAAUGGCCAGCCCAGCCUUUAAUCCCGCGAUCCUGACGUGGAGAGCCUGGUGGGAGCGGUGGGUUUGGGGUCUCUUCGUUUGGUCUGUUUGGUUUGCUUCACUCCGGGGCUGCAGGCUGAGCGCCACCCACAUCCCAAGGAGCCACUCGGGCUGCAAAACCAGAGGGAAAAGGCUGAGAAACCAUCCCACGGAGGAUGGAGGCAGUGGGAGCAGGGUGGGAUGGAGCUCAGGACAUCCCAUCCGCGUGGCAUCUCCACACCGAACCUGUCCAGAGAGCAGAGGAGCCCCGGGGGAACGCGGGGUUUGUGCCCCAAGCCCAGAAGCUCUUUAGGAGGAAUUAGAGGCGGUGAAACAAGAGGAAAAAUGCAGCAGCACGUGGCCCAGGGCAGCUGCAGGGAGCUGCUUCCUGCCUGGCCUCACGGAGCAGCAAUGUCCCCCGGGCAGGAGCGGGGCUGGGGGCUCCUGGAUGGCGCCGUGUCACCGGGGUGUGGGUGACAAUGCUUUCCACCCCCCACGGGGGGAGGAGGACCUGGCCCCACUUUCCGAAGCAGCAGAUUGCAGGCCAAUCCUUUAACGUGUACCGACAACAAGGGUGAUUUAUUUUUCUUGAGAAAAUACACGCUUUUAAAUUAAAUACAUGUGAUUUUCUAGUUAGAAUUAGGAUUAGUUGAGAUGGUCUUUAUGGUCCCUUCCAGCCCAAACCAUUCUGUGAUCCAGUAAUCUGAACGUGUGCCACGGAUGGGACGCCUGCAGUGCCACUAUGGGGACAAUGCCCAUGGUGCCACCAGCCCGGGGACAAUGCCCAUGGUGUCACCAGCCUGGGGACAACCCCCCCCCCCCCCCCCCCCCCCCCCCCCCCCCCCCC